Molecule: ribosomal RNA, 252 nt
Filed under: uncultured bacterium
Lineage: Bacteria
Description: partial 16S ribosomal RNA
Rfam family: Bacterial small subunit ribosomal RNA
Source: RNAcentral
UACGGGGGGGCAAGCGUUGUUCGGAAUUCCUGGGCGUAAAGGGCUCGUAGGCGGCCAACUAAGUCAGACGUGAAAUCCCCAGGCUCAACUUGGGAACUGCGUCUGAUACUGGAUGGCUUGAAUUCGGGAGAGGGAUGCAGAAUUCCAGGUGUAGCGGUGAAAUGCGUAGAUAUCUGGAGGAAUACCGGUGGCGAAGGCGGCAUCCUGGACCGAGAUUGACACUGAUGAGCGAAAGCUAGGGGAGCAAACGGG